GAUGAACGCUGGCGGCGUGCCUAAUACAUGCGAGUCGAGCGAACGGACGAGAAGCUUGCUUCUCUGAUGUUAGCGGCGGACGGGUGAGUAACACGUGGAUAACCUACCUAUAAGACUGGAAUAACUUCGGGAAACCGGAGCUAAUACCGGAUAAUAUUUUGAACCGCAUGGUUCAAAAGUGAAAGACGGUCUUGCUGUCACUUAUAGAUGGAUCCGCGCUGCAUUAGCUAGUUGGUAAGGUAACGGCUUACCAAGGCAACGAUGCAUAGCCGACCUGAGAGGGUGAUCGGCCACACUGGAACUGAGACACGGUCCAGACUCCUACGGGAGGCAGCAGUAGGGAAUCUUCCGCAAUGGGCGAAAGCCUGACGGAGCAACGCCGCGUGAGUGAUGAAGGUCUUCGGAUCGUAAAACUCUGUUAUUAGGGAAGAACAUAUGUGUAAGUAACUGUGCACAUCUUGACGGUACCUAAUCAGAAAGCCACGGCUAACUACGUG
Molecule: ribosomal RNA, 497 nt
Filed under: uncultured bacterium
Lineage: Bacteria
Description: partial 16S ribosomal RNA
Rfam family: Bacterial small subunit ribosomal RNA
Source: RNAcentral